This 414-nucleotide ribosomal RNA is filed under the name uncultured bacterium. RNAcentral's name for it is "bacterial SSU rRNA". It matches the Rfam family "Bacterial small subunit ribosomal RNA", at positions 355 to 787 of the family's 1533-position model. The record is from RNAcentral.
UGGGGAAUAUUGGACAAUGGGCGCAAGCCUGAUCCAGCCAUACCGCGUGGGUGAAGAAGGCCUUCGGGUUGUAAAGCUCUUUCACCGAUGAAGAUAAUGACGGUAGUCGGAGAAGAAGCCCCGGCUAACUUCGUGCCAGCAGCCGCGGUAAUACGAAGGGGGCUAGCGUUGUUCGGAAUUACUGGGCGUAAAGCGCACGUAGGCGGAUAUUUAAGUCAGGGUGAAAUCCCAGAGCUCAACUCUGGAACUGCCUUUGAUACUGGGUAUCUUGAGUAUGGAAGAGGUAAGUGGAAUUCCGAGUGUAGAGGUGAAAUUCGUAGAUAUUCGGAGGAACACCAGUGGCGAAGGCGGCUUACUGGUCCAUUACUGACUCUGAGGUGCGAAAGCGUGGGGAGCAAACAGGAUUAGAUACCC